UUGCAGUGAUGACUCCUUAGGACACCUUUGGAUUCUCCAUGAAAACAACCUGUUAGACUGAGCGAC
Molecule: small nucleolar RNA, 66 nt
Organism: Amphilophus citrinellus (Midas cichlid)
Lineage: Eukaryota; Metazoa; Chordata; Actinopteri; Cichliformes; Cichlidae
Gene: SNORD58
Rfam family: Small nucleolar RNA SNORD58
About the family: snoRNA U58 is found in introns 1, 3 and 6 of the ribosomal protein RPL17 gene in humans. U58 is a member of the C/D class of snoRNA which contain C (UGAUGA) and D (CUGA) box motifs.
Source: Ensembl